Oreochromis niloticus (Nile tilapia) is the source of this 163-nucleotide long non-coding RNA. RefSeq lists it as uncharacterized. The record is from RefSeq and is a predicted model, not a curated record. Lineage: Eukaryota; Metazoa; Chordata; Actinopteri; Cichliformes; Cichlidae. The transcript is spliced from 3 exons.
ACGAUGGUGGUCGAAGCAGGAGAGGAAAACACUUUCAAAUGACAAUUCUGGAGAGGAUGGGCCUGCAGGGGAAAGUCACCCCCUUGUAGGCCAGGAGACAUGAGAUAACUUUAAAGAAUACAAAGAUUGCAAGUAUCCAGGCUCAGGAGAGGGGGUCAGUGGA